GCUCGGCGUGCAGGGCCUCGACAUGGGCGCCGUUUACCAUCCGAUACCUACUAUCGGCCUAUGACCUACGAUACUCACGCCCCUCUCGCGGCCGCAAUAAAUCGCGCCGCGCGAUUUUCCCGGGGGCUCGUACCUUUGCGCGUCCGACCUGUGUUGUUUCGUUUGAUUUCGAUCGGUCCGUAGUCGUUUCUUUCUCUGCGUUACUUACUCCCGACAACAAGGUUUUUCUCGGUCUCGUUGUAGCACGGAUAAGUCGUAGGGAUAAGUUCAACAAUCCGCGCGUGUCGAAGAAUGAUGUAGUGAGUAGUGAUUUUAAAAUGCAAACGCGAUAGUCUCUCUAAUUUUCUUUAGAGAUUGUAUUUUGAUAUGUGCCAAAAAUUAGAUUCUUCAGAAUGAAUCGCAUAAAUUACACGGUUCGGAGCUCGAUAAGUUGACUAUAUUUUUAUAAAAGGAAUCAGUAUUUUAUCGAGUCUAUUUAAUGUAAGACUCAAUUGGCCAACGUAUUGUUCAAGAUUUUGACUUCUUGUUAAUUAUAGAUUCCAAUAAAGAACUAGUGUCUCUCAUAGCGUAUGAGUUAUUUUAUUCAACGAAAUAUUACUAGAUUUUAAACGAUAUUUUGUACAUUCCUCAAUUGAGACUGUUUUAGACUUCGUUUUGAAGUAGUCAACGAAGAAAAUCGAAAGUAUUAAUUAAUAUAUGUCGAUUAGAGGGGUGAUCGAACGACCGGAUGUGAUAGAUAUCGAUAUCGAAAAGUGCAAUAUCGUAGAUUAGAAAGACAGCUCGUUCUUAUUUGCCGGUUUGAGAUACAUAUCGAGGACGCGAUACUGUUCGCGGUUUACAAUGUUCGGCAAAACUGUGAUCGUAGAAACAGAACGCGUAGCAAAUUGCAGAUAUACUCGACGCGUAGUAGUUACCUAUGUGGCCUCAUUUUCUUGUAGCGAAAAAUUUAGACAACGAGACGAACGUAUCACAUAAAAAAAGACUGGUAGUUAUUUCGUAGAUAAUUAGUAAACGCAGGUAGUAGGACAAUAAAAAAACGAAGUGUUCAAAUUUAGAGAAAAAAAAACGGACCGAAAUGAUCCAAUGUUGCUCAAUAGUAGAUCGCCGUCGCGUUGAACGUAUCUCCUUCGGGGAUUGUCUUUCAAUUUAUAUAUUUGCAAUGUUCAAUGAAACGCAUAAUAUGCAAAAACAAUUUAAUCAUCCAUGAUAUGUAGCAAAAAUUAAAAAAUUUAUUGCUUCUUAAAAUAAAUGAUACUAAAUAUAGGAAUAAAAUUUAUGGAACUCUUGAUCUUUCGAUCUUUGCAACAUAAUAAUCUAUUCUGACGUUUCUGGAUGUGAAACAUAUUUCUGCACGAUCAUGAUAAUAUUUUUAAUUCGAAACUGAUAUAUAACAUAUGUUAGAAGCUUAUAAAAGAUUGAAACUAUAAUAACAAUUUAAGAUAUUUGAUGUAUUGUGGUGUUUAAUCAAAAAGUAUAUAUAUAUACACUUUGAAAGAUUAAAUAUAAUUAUAGAAAUAUAUAUUUUAAUUAAUAAGGAUAGAUAAAAUGUACGAAGAGAAGGUAACUGGUAUAAGUCAUGUCUAAUCAAGUUUCGAUCAUCUGCCAACAUCGAUAAUUAAGUUCUCGGCGUCCAUCACACUUGCCGUUAAAAGCAUUUCAAUUAAAACGCUGUAGAACUUAACGCCGACAUCGAGCCUUCAACGAAAGAGAAACGAUAGAACAGGAAAUCGAAGGACAGGUGAGCUCCUGUCGUGCGACGAUUUUCAGGUCACCCCGAUGGGAAAACGAAACGACAAUUCCCCGAUGGAGAGAUCGUAUGUUCGCCCGGUGGCUGUCAAUUCGUUGGUAGAACUUAGUUGAAAUUUUAGCGACGCGAACAAAGAGCUCUAAACGUAGAAAUGGCCGUCUGCGAGGUUACGCGCGACGAGACCGGAUGAUAAUUAAAAGCCGCGAUGUGGAAUAUGCGGGAGAGA
Molecule: long non-coding RNA, 1973 nt
Organism: Formica exsecta
Lineage: Eukaryota; Metazoa; Arthropoda; Insecta; Hymenoptera; Formicidae
Exons: 2
Source: RefSeq, a predicted model, not a curated record